This 492-nucleotide ribosomal RNA is filed under the name uncultured bacterium. Its description in RNAcentral is "bacterial SSU rRNA". It matches the Rfam family "Bacterial small subunit ribosomal RNA", at positions 28 to 507 of the family's 1533-position model. The record is from RNAcentral.
GAUGAACGCUAGCUACAGGCUUAACACAUGCAAGUCGAGGGGAAACGACAUCGAAAGCUUGCUUUUGAUGGGCGUCGACCGGCGCACGGGUGAGUAACGCGUAUCCAACCUGCCCACCACUUGGGGAUAACCUUGCGAAAGUAAGACUAAUACCCAAUGACGUCUCUAGAAGAUAUCUGAAAGAGAUUAAAGAUUUAUCGGUGAUGGAUGGGGAUGCGUCUGAUUAGCUUGUUGGCGGGGUAACGGCCCACCAAGGCGACGAUCAGUAGGGGUUCUGAGAGGAAGGUCCCCCACAUUGGAACUGAGACACGGUCCAAACUCCUACGGGAGGCAGCAGUGAGGAAUAUUGGUCAAUGGGCGAGAGCCUGAACCAGCCAAGUAGCGUGCAGGAUGACGGCCCUAUGGGUUGUAAACUGCUUUUAUAAGGGAAUAAAGUGAGCCUCGUGAGGCUUUUUGCAUGUACCUUAUGAAUAAGGACCGGCUAAUUCCGUG